Molecule: ribosomal RNA, 393 nt
Filed under: uncultured bacterium
Lineage: Bacteria
Description: partial 16S ribosomal RNA
Rfam family: Bacterial small subunit ribosomal RNA
Source: RNAcentral
AUACGGAAGGUCCGGGCGUUAUCCGGAUUUAUUGGGUUUAAAGGGUGCGAAGGCGGGAGAUUAAGUCGGCGGUGGAAUUUUGCAGCUCAACUGUAAAAGUGUCUUCGAAACUGGGUUCCCUGUGUGUAGAUGAAGUAGGCGGGAUUUGGGGGGUAACGGGGCAAUGAAUAGAUAUCACGAGGAACUCCGGUUGCGCAGGCAGCUUACUAAACUACUACUGACGCUCAGGCACGAAGGCGUGGGGAUCAAACAGGAUUAGAUACCCUGGUAGUCCACGCAGUAAACGAUGAUUACUAGCUGUUUGCGAUACAAUGUAAGCGGCUGAGCGAAAGCGUUAAGUAAUCCACCUGGGGAGUACGUUCGCAAGAAUGAAACUCAAAUGAAUUGACGGGG